Molecule: long non-coding RNA, 16540 nt
Filed under: Nicotiana benthamiana
Lineage: Eukaryota; Viridiplantae; Streptophyta; Magnoliopsida; Solanales; Solanaceae
Description: long non-coding RNA (NBEN_LNC033050)
Source: RNAcentral
GUGUUUACAUGACAAGAGCUUCUGCAUAUAAAGAUGCACUUAAAAGUUUCAUACAAGGAUAGAAGGUAUUCAACAAACCAUGGAGAAAAAUAAAGACUCUGAAAUCUUCCGAAGACACUGAUGCAUCCAAUUCCAAAGGACCAACUUGAGUUCUAACAAUUUGUUAGUUAUCUUUUGCCAUACCAGCUGCAAGAACUUGUAUUAUGUCUUUCCUUGUCUGCGACAAUCAUGUUAAUAAGUAUACCAAUUAUAUUUUUUUACAUAACUAGAAUGGUAUCGAUAAAAGGGAUGAUAUUAAAUGAUAAUACUCGGGUAUGCUACCAGUUUCUGGGAACUACUUUAUUUUGCUAUAUUCAUUGUACUGUUGUUGGAAGUUAGUUCGGUAAUGUUCUGACUGUCUCAUGCCUGAACUUUUCUUAGGUAUUUGCUGGUGGCUAUAUGUAGAUGCAUUGCUUAUUCUUACAGUCUUGUUGAUGUAUUGCUUGAAACCACAAGGGAACACCACCUCUGUGCUUGACAGCAUUGUUUAUGUUUAAAUUCAUUGAGGGUGUAUGGUUCGGAAUUCAACAGGGAAGAGGGGAAAGGGGAGACAUCAGAUGGAAUAAUCCACCAAUGUGCAUUUCUUCAAGCUGCAGAAAUUCCCUUCAUGAAGCAUGUACAUUUCAAAAAACUUCAUGCCACCUUGGGGAGUGGCUAUCACUUUGUCCAUUAAGAUAGGUCUCUGUAACUCGGCCUAUCUGUCACUGUUUGUGGGAAUCUUUAUUAAGUAAUUGUUGCCGGGGUCAUGGGUGGCUCAUGGCUGCUUGGUUGAAUCCAUCAAGUACAUUGGUUUUUAUUUUAGCACAUUCUAAUAAAAAUUUCCGACAAUGUCAGGAAAUCAUAAUUCUAUCUUUAUCAUUGGUCCUUCAUAGGCAGAAUUCUUCUAAUGGUUCUCGUUCUCAAACCAGUGCUACUUAUUUCAAUCUUCAUUUUGUUCACAACAAUUGAGAAUACUUUGUUUGGAAGGUAUCUGCAUCUUCAUGUGAAUAUUGUUACCCUUUCCAGGAUUAAAGGUUUUCCUACCCAGAAUUAUCAACAUGGCUUUUACCAUUAAUUUGUCUUGAGGAAACACCAUUUGCUUCUCUCCAAGGCGUAAAAUGCAAGGAAGUUGCGUUAAAAGCAUAUAGCUUAAGGAAAUUGGAAGUAAAGGAAGGAAACACUUUGCUUCUCUUAGAGUUAUUCUUGUACUUGGUUUGACGAUUGACUUAUCCUUACCAGAGGAGUCAAUUUUGUAACUGGUCGCCAGUUGUAAAUUCUAAUAUACGUCUGGUGACCUCCCACUUGCAGGAGCACUAGAAUUUCGUGAGAUUCCUAACAAAAACCAAUGGGUGAUAAUCUUCCCGUCUUCAUUUCUUAAUUAAUGGUUGACUUUGACUGAGGUAAUGCUACCUUGCUUUGCACCUUUAGUUGUUAGUCAUACUGUUGAACUCUAUAAACCGUUUUCAACAUGUAACUAGGAUGACAAGGUGUCACGAUCCUAAAUUCAAACUUGUCAUGAUGACAUCUAUCCAUGGUACUAGGUCAGCCAACUUUCACAAUAUUUCUAUAAUUCAUAAUGAUAAGCCAAAACCCUUUUUAUAACAGGGUUUUCAGAUAAGAAAUAUGAGUUAAACUCAAUAUAGAAAUGUAGAAGGAAAGCCCCGAACAUCGGAGUGUCAUUAAGUCAUGAGCAUCUAAUAUAACUGGCCCGACAAUAACAAGAUUUAACAUAGUCUGAAAUCCAAAAAACAACUCAAGAAAGAUAAGGAAGAAGAAAAAAAAGCUGCGAAUGCCAGGCAGUUACCUUGCUAUCUCAAAACUGUUGCAAGCACUAUCAACAACCUUCCCGAUUAACUACUCAUGGAUCUGCAUACGAGGUGCACGGAGUAAUACGAGUACACCAACUCAGUAAGUAACUGAAAUAAAUAGAGAACUGAGAAGUAGUGACGAGCUAUACAAGUGUAGGCACACUUUCACUUCAGAGUUAAACUCAAAUCAGUUGAUUUAAAUCAAGUUCAGGUAGAUUCAGACAAAUUAUCUUUCAACAGUUUUCAAAGCAAGAAUAAGACAACUAUGUGCAACAUUGAUGAAAUCAUAUACUUCCCCUUGGGCAAUCAUCACUUAGUCCUCCCAAUCCCUCCAACCUCACAGCCACCCAUUCCUCACAAUCUCUCAGCUCUCAGCAUUUGGCACUCGCACUCAACAGGUACCUGCGCUCACUGGGGUGUGCAGGCUUCGGAGGGGCUCCUUAGCCCAAACGUUGCAUAAAUGCCAAUUAUGACAGAAUCAAUAAAACAUGUUGUGACGUAUAGCCUGAUCCCAUAAAUGUCCUCACAAUCAGGCCGUCAGCCUCACUCAAUCAUCAGUCUCUCAAGCUCUCAGAAAUCAAGAUAAUCAGCCCAAACAACAAUGACAUGAAGCAUCAAAUGGAAUAAAAGAGUCAAUCUUAUAGCCAAUCUUUCUAUAACACACAGGGAGCAUAUAGCUAACAAGAAGUUGUUAUACUUUACAGUUUUUUUGGGACGGACUAAGUCAUAAUCCCCAUUGGUACACGCCUACGCGCCCAUCACCUAACAUGUACGUCACCUCUAAAAUAGUCACUUGACACAAAAUUCGGAGAUUCAUACCCUCAAGACCAGAUUUAUAAAUGUUACUUACCUCAAUCCGAGAAAAUCUCUACUAUGCAAUGCCCUUACCUUUUGAAUCCGCCUCCGAACGUCCUGAAUAUAGCCACAAGUAGUAUAAUACCAUUAAUAUAUGCUAAUGGAAUCAAUUCUACAAGAAAAAACUACUACUAGAUUAGACUCAAAAUCCAAAAUUGGUUCAAACCAUGUCCCCGGAUCCACGUCUCAGAAUCCGGCAGAAGUUACAAAACCCGAAAUCCCAUUCACUCAUGAGCCUAACCAUACUACAUUUAUCGAAAUAUGACAUCAUUUUCCCCUCCAAAUGCCCAAAACUCACUCUUCAAUUCUCAACCCCUAGCCUCCCAAAUUUCACCUCAAAAACUCCCCAACUAGAUGUAAAAUCAGUGGGGAGACACCAUUAUUGAACAUAGAUAAGCAUAAGGAACUCACCAUAGUGAUUACUCUAAAAUCUCUCUAAAAAAACCCCCCAAAAUCCGAGCUCAAAUAUGUGAAAAUGGAAAAAUCCCAAAGUGUUCUAUUUAUACCUUUUGACUAGCAAAACGACAUCUGCGGUACCAUUUACGCUUAUGCGAUGCCUCACCUGCGGGAAUUCCAUCGCAGGUGCGGAUCCCACUUACUCUCCCAAAAUAUGCAUCUGGGGUCAAAUACUCGUACGUGUGAGUGCGCAUGCGGGCCCUGCCUACUUUCGUGAUCCUUUCUUCUAAGGCCCUUUUCUGCAUCUGUGCUCUGCUUCCACAUCUACGAUUCCGCAGAUGCGCUCCUAACCUUGUACCUGCACUUCCAGUCCACCUCAGCCUUGUCGGCACUUGUGAGCUCCUCUUCGCUUUUGCAGGGCUGCACUUGCAGGCUCCUCCCGGCAUGUGCGAAAAUACCAGAACCAGUAGUUUCGGCUGCACUUCUUCAAUUCCAAACAAUUCGUUAACCACCUGAAAUCACCCCGAGGCCCUCAGGACCACAACCAUAGAUACUGACACAUCCAAUAACAUCAUUAGAACUUAGUCGAACCUUCGAGUCACUCGAAACAACAUUAAAAUAUCAAAUUAACCUCGGAUUCAAGCCUAAGAACUUCUAAACUAUCAAGUUCCACAAACGAUGUCGAAACCCUCUAAACCUCGAUGAAUGACCUCAAAUUUUGCACAUUAAUCAAAAAUGACACCACGAACCUGCUCAAAUUUUCAGAAUUCCUUCCAUACCCGAUAUUAAAAGUUUCACUGCCGACCAAAAUCGUCAAUAUUCUAACUUUCGCCAAUUCAAGCCUAAUUCUACCACGGGUUUCAAAAUCACAUUUCGGAUGCUCUCCCAAGUCUAAAAUCACCUAACGGAGCUAACGGGACCAUCAAAAACCGAAUCCAAUAUAUUUUAUACAUAAGUCAACAUCCAAUGAAUUUUUUCAACUUAAGCCUCCACAUAAGAGACUAAGUGUCACAAUUCACUCUAAAAUUAUUCUCGACCCGAACCAGCUAACCUGGUAUAUCAUAAUACAAAUAUAGAACACAAAAGAAGCAGGGAACGUGGAAACAUGGCUAUACUCUCAAAUGGUCCAAUAAACCGAGGGAUCAACUUGCCCUUCUUCCAAAAUCUCAUUGUUACACCCUAUAUUUUCAUACGUGAAAGUACGCCAAAAAUAAAUUGGUGAGAGCUCGAAAAUGAAAUGUUACAUCCCGCAUUUUUUUACGUUAAAGUUUUAUCGUAAGUUAAUCGACGUAAGCUCGGAAAUGAGAUUAUUGUGGGAUUAUAAGUAUUAUGCUAUUUCAAACAAGGGAUAAGUAAAUUCGUGAAGGUGAGAGGGUAAGAAAAUCGAUGAAAAUAAGUUUCGUCGAAGUGUGGAAAUUUGAGAUAAGAUACAGUUCAAGGUAUAGUGCUACGUACUUAUGGACUAAUGUCACACAAGAUAUCACUUGACCAUAAUAGUAAAAUAUAUAAAAUAUAUUAAAAGUAAGUAGUAUUUUAGAUAAUUUAAAAUAAUUCUUAUUUAUGUAAAUAAUUAAUCAAUUAUGGAGAUCAUUAUGGUAUUAAGUUGAUAAGGGUAUUUUUGGGGCUGCCACAUGACAUAAGCUAAGUCAAUGUGGCAAAAUAUACAAAAUGAGUCAUAUGACAAAAUGAUACCUUGUUUACACGUAAGAGUGUUUGGUCUCUUUAUUGGUAAGGUAUAGGACUUUUGUAAAAUUAAGGAAAAUAACAUUCCUAUAUCAUUAAAAGAGAAAUGGCAAUGUCCAACGUGAAAUUUCUCUGAAAUACUACAUGGUACAACGUGAAAUGCUAAUUCAAAGAAAGUCUGAUACAAUCUUUCUCAAGAAUAUUAUACUGAUAUUUUUCUACUUCGAUAUGUUGUUACGUGUUUUCGCAAAAGAGAAUCGGUUCAGAUAUGUUAAAGCUAUCCUUUCUUUCCUUUUGGCAUGAUUCGUACGAUACAAACAAAAUGAACAAAUGCAUAAUUUUUAUAAAUAACUUUAUUCAUACAAAUACUAGAGAUGCAUAUGUUCUUGAUUUCUUGUGUGUCAUAUGAUGUUCUGAGAGAUUUUAUUGACGUACUUCUCAUGCAUUGCAUUCAUUUAUACAUGAAAAUUAACUCAUCACCAGAUGGAUAUAUAUAUAUAUAUAUAUACAUAUAUAUAUAUAUAUAUAUAUAUGUGUGUGUGUGUGUGUGUGUGUGUGUGUGUGUGUGUGUGUGUGUGUGUGGGUGGGUGUGUGUGUGGGGGGGUGUGUGUGAUGGGUUUUCAAUGUCUUUGCCAUAUGCUCCUUAUGUUUUGAUGGUCUAACAAACUUCUUGUGAAGAACCAGAUAGAGAACCUGACCCACGUGGUAUACAUUUCAAAUGAAUAAUGUCCAGUCUGAUCUCCAGCAAAUGAAUGACCAACCACAAGGAGGAACACAACAAGGACCAGGUGAUCUAGUCCCUUAGGGUUCUCUGACAGAAGUACAAGUCAGUGACUGUCCGCAACUAUUACAAAGAGGAACACAAUAUGGACCUAGUCCCUUAGGAUUAUCUGACAAAAGUACAAGUCAACUGUAUAGCAGCUGGAAAGUAACAAUAAAAAGUGACUGUCUCGCAACUGUCAUAGAAGAGGAACAUAAUAGGGACCUGGUCCCUUGGUGUUCCCUGACAGACGUACAAGUCAAUUGUACAGUAGCUGGAAAGUAACAGCUGAAAGUGACUGUUUCGCAAUUUUUACAGAAGAGGAACACAAUAGAGACCUGGUCCCUUAGUGUUCUCUGACAUAAGUACAAGUCAACUAUACACACCAAACUGCAUAAAAGUUACUGUGCAGCAGACAGUGCAUCAAUCAUUUCUCAUCGGGAAGAAGCGUGUACCACGAAUUGACAUCACCAUCCAUUUUGAUGUCUUUUGUAAUAUAACAACCUGGUUCAAGACACAAGAUUCACUCGUGCAUUUAGUGAUAUUCUCUCAAGCAUAACAAUGUUCAUCCGGCAUUGAAGUCACUGGUGUGUCAACAACAAGAAGACAACUCCUCUAAGGAUCAGUUUCAUAAUGAGUCUAUAUGUAUCCGCAGUUGAGUUGUAAUCUUUUUUCUUGUUCUUCAUUGUAUCUCUUAUCCUACUUUUUAUAUGCUUUGUCUUAAGAAAACCAAAAAUAUGUAAACUUCCGAGUUUAUGUUGUAACUAGGUUUAGUCAUAAGUUUAAAGGCUUUUUAACUAGAAGAGUCACAAAGUGGCUUGUGGUGAGAGCAUCACAAGUUAGUCAAAGUCUUUGUAAUAGAGUUAUUACAAAGUGACUUCUAAUAGUGAGAUUACAAGUUAGUAAAGUUAAAAGCCUACCAGCGUAAGUCGUGGUUUUUUUAUCCUAUUGUGUGGGAUUUACAUAGAAAUCUCUUGUCUUCUUUACUUACAAUUUUUAUUAAGUAUUCUCAAAAUAACCUCAUAUAGGACCAGGUACUCUACUGUUUGGUAGACUCAUACAAACUAAUAACUGGUAUUAGAGCGGGUUCUUUCUAAAAGGUUAACACCAAGAAAGGAUCUCAAUGACUGCUCCAACCAACUUUGAGGAAGGACAAUCAACCUACAUACCUCCUAGAUUCAAUGGUCAGUACUACGGCUCGUGGAAGACUCGCAUGCAUGAUUUUAUAAUUGCCAAAGAUUCAAAGCUGCGGGACAUCAUUUGUGAUGGUACACAUGUUCCUAUGAAAACGCUUGAAGAAACUGGGCCAAUGGUGCCAAAAAACAAAAGGGAGUACACUGAUAUUGACAGAAAAGCUGUAGAAAAGAACUAUCAUGCCAAGAAAAUCUUGGUGUGUAGCAUAUGACUUGAUGAGUACAACAGAGUCUCAGGUUGUGAUACUACCAAAGAAAUAUAGGAAGCAUUACAAACCGCACACGAACGAACUACUCAAGCUAAAUAGUCCAAGAUUGACAUGCUCACCACAGAGUAUGAGCUCUUUAGGAUGAAGGACGAUGAGUCUAUACAGGAUAUGAACACCAGAUUCACCUCCAUCAUAAAUGAGCUUCAUUCACUUGGAGAUGUUAUUCCCAGAAACAAGCUUAUAAGAAAAAUCCUCAGUGUUCUACCUAGCUCUUGGGAAAUAAGGUAAAUGCCAUCACAGAAGCUAAAGAUCUACAAAAUCUAACCAUGGAUGAGUUGAUUGGUAAUCUGAAGAUAUACGAAAUGAAGAGAAAGAAAGAUAGUGAAAAGAGAGAGCCGAAGAAGGAAACGAACCUAGUACUCAAGGCUGAAAGUAGUGACUUAAGUGAUGAAGAUAGUGAUAUGACCUAUCUUACUAAAAGGUUUCAAAAGAUGGUUCGAAGAAAUGGUGGUAUACCAAAGAAGGGAAGUUCAAGUAAGGAGAGGAACACUGAUCUCUGUCACAAGUGCGGAAUGCCAGGGCAUUUCAUCAAAGAUUGUCCACUCGCGAAGCAGGAGCAAUACAAAUAAUAUCCUGACAAAGCAACAAAAAUGAACCUGGUUCCAGUCAAACAAUUCAUUCAAAUAAGUGCAGCUGACAAUAUUGUGAAGCAGGCUCUUGCUGCUCGGGGAGACUCCUCCAGUGAAUCAGAAAGGGAACCAGAUGCAGCAAAAAGUUCCAUGAUGGUUGUGGAAACUGAAGUACCAAAGUACGACUCACUAUUUGCGAUGAUGGCUCGGUCUAAUAAGGAUGAAGAAGAUGAUGAUCAUGAGGUAAAUUUUAAGGAUGUUCGGAGAAAUCUAAAAUCCUACUGUUCUAUGAAGUUAAGGUCAUUAGUAAAUGUUUUAAUUGAUGCUUAUUAUAGCCUUGGCAACGAUAAGGAGAUCUUGACCUCAGAACUAGGUGAAGUUGAAUAAUCUAGAGAUGAUCUAGUGGUCUGUGUAGUGGACUUAAAUGAGACCAUAGCUAAUCCUGAAAAAGAAGGAAGCUCUAAAUGAAAAUAUAACUAGUGUAGAAAAUGAGAGAGAUGAUUUUAUUGUGGUUGUGGUUUACUUGAAGGAAAUAGUAGAAGGUCUCAGCAAUGAGAAACACACUCAAUGAUGAUUCACAUAUGGAAGAACCUGGUCCUUCAAAGUCUGAAGUUCAAGUAUCCAACUAGAAGCAAAAGUGUUCAUAUCCCUUCAAAAUGUAAUCACAUCCUUAGACUCUGGUAUUCAACCUAUUUCUAAGAAAGAGCACUUCUGGAACAAGACAUUUUCUGGUUUAUGCUUGAUCUAAUGGGGUACAAAAAGACAAACUAUGUGGCUCUUUCUACUGCUAAAGCUGAAUACGUGGUUGUUGCUUCUUGUUGGGCUCAAACAGUAUGUAUCAAGAAAAAUCUUAAAGACUUUGGUGUAUUUACAGCUUGAACCUGGUACAACACAAGAGGACAAGGCACAUUAAUGUGUGACAUCACUCUUUGAAGGAUGCUCUAUACUAUCCUUCAGGUAACAACUUCAACCUUAUUGGUUAUGCUGACGUUGACUAUGCAGGCUAUCUGAUGAAUAGGAAAAGCACAUCUGGAAUGGCUCGUUUUCAUGUUUUAUCUCAUGGGGUACAAGGAAACAAACUCAGUAGCUCUCUCAAUAGCUGAAGCAGAAUAUGUUGCAGCUGCCUCGUGUUGUGCUUAUUCACUGUGAAUCAAGAAAAAAUUGGAAGAUCUUGGUGUAUACACUGAUUGUGUACUGUUUCUAUGUGACACAACAGUGCUCUCAACAUGGCAAAGAACUCGGUUCAACACAAAAGAACCAAGCACAUUGAUGUCAAACACCAUUUACUUUGAUGCAAUUUUGAAAAGGUUCUGAUUUGUAUGAAGUUCUGGAAGACGAAAUAUCAGGUAGUAGACAUCUUCACCAAGGCACUGAGCAGGGAAAAUUUUUGAAAGAAAUCAUCUGGAUUUAGGGUUGAUCAAGCUCAACUAAGGACCUGGUCACUUAAUGAUUGGUUAUGUUAAGAAGGAAAGGUACAAUGCUAAAAUGUAUUCUUUCGAUGACAUCUAACUCAAAUCUGUAAUGUUACAGGUAUACACAUAUAGUAGUUUCAGGGCAAAAACAUGUAAGAGCUACAUUGCACUUCUAGGAGUCUUUGCCCAAAAUUUUCAAAAAUCGUCACGGAACCUGGUUCUUGUGACACAGGUUAAUAGUCUCUUCAACACUUAUAUGCCUUUUUAAGCUGCUGAAGUGUCAUGUCAUUAUUUUGUUUCUGCCUUUCUCUUACCUCUCCUCCUACCUUUUGAAGUCCAGAAUGUUAAAACUUUUUCUGAAUUGAUACGUUGCCCUAAAAAGGAACUUAUUUAUCUUAUACCCUAAUAAAAUCGAUUCUUUUCUUCAAAACCAAAAUCAGACUUGUCUCAAAAUAAUCCUUCUUUCCAAAUAUGCCAUAAGUGAACCUAACUCUCUCACUUUCCAAAAACCUAACUCCGUCGGAAUCAAAUCCCCAAGAACUCUUUGAUAGAUUUUGAUGGAAGUUUAACUAAAAGGGAAUAAGGUAGAUCUAAUAUUCUAGAGCAUAAGGAUAAUGUUGUUGCCAUAUUUGAAGAAGCUUUAAAGGAUAGAGAAAUUGGUAAAUGUGAGGAUUGAAUGAGGGACCUGAUCCCUCAAGUUAUUCUUAUGAAGUCAAUUUUAGUAAUUAUCUUUUUCUCUUUGAGUUCUGUGUAUAAACAAACUUCCAAUCCAGUAAAAAGGAUUGAUGAAAAGUAUGUUGAUUGAUGAUGUAGUGGUGUGACCUGUUGAUAUGAUUGUGGAAGAGAGAAUGAAAUAAAAUAUUUUCAUGUGAGAAACCAUUUAUAAAAAAAUGAUUGGCUGAGAAAGAUGCACCAUAUGAUAAGAGUAAACUGAUUGCGAAGAAAAAGAGGAAGAAAUUGCUGCUCAGGGAUAGAAAAGAUAGUGUAAGUGAUAAACCCGGUUCCUUACAUAAGCAAAAGGUUAAGCUAUUAGGUUUGGAGGGAAAAGACGUUGAAAUAUCAAAAAAUGUUGUAAGGCAGAGUGUUAACCCUGUUGUUGGUGAAAAAAUGGAGGAACUUCUUAACAUUGUUGAGUUCCAAGAAUAGAAUCACCUUGUUUAUCCUCCAAGCCCCAAUGUUUCUGAAGAAGUAAAAAAUCAUAUGUUUUACGUGAUACUAUGAUGCUAUAUGUGCAUGGGAGUGAGUCUGUUCUUGAUGAGACGAAGCUUGGGGAGAUUCUUGGUAAUCUGAUUGAUGGUUCAACCUACUCAGAUAGGUUGAGGACCUGGUUCUCGAGGACCCUUGGCAAAAUAGAAUGCUAAGUUGAAGGGUGAGAAUGAAACAUUGAGGAAACAGGUAAAGGAGUUGAGAGAGAAAAUGAUCAUUGAUCAAAGGAGAAUAGAUGGAAAAUCUCAUCACGAUCUUAGCCCCUUACUUUUCCUCCUGCCCGGUGACACUCCUUCCAAAUUCCCUUAAAUUCUUAUCUUCUUUUGAUCCCUAUAUUUGAUGAUAUUGGUACUUCUGUUGUUUAAAUUGUCAUAUUAUGUAUUGUUGAAACUACUGUGCGUUUAUCAUAAUUACUCCACUAUGGGCAAUCACUAUAUUUUGUGUAAUGACAUUCACUUGGCUUUCUUGUUAUCGUUUAUGCUGUGUUGCCCAAGUGGCAUGAGUUAAUGUUGUUGAACUUCUUUUUGGUUAUGUUUCUUCUAUUACUCUUUUUGAUGAUGCCAAAAGGGGGAAGUUAUGCGUUAUAUAGGUGUCAACAUGGGUGUGAAAGUUAGCUCUUCUUGGUGACAAAUAGUUGUGCAUUAAAGUCACUAUAGGGGAUAUGUUGUGUUGUGCGUGAAAGAUGGCUUUGCUUCGCAAGGGGAACAUUGUUGAUAGUAUGUUGAUUAUAGGAAUAAUAAUUUUGGGUUUGUCAUCAUCAAAAAAGGGGAAAUAGAUCUAAGUUACACUAUGUCAUGUUUUGAUGAUGACAAACAUUCUCAAUGAACUGGGUACGGACCAGAUGUGAUCAAUGCAUAUAAGGAAUCUGAUUCUCAGGUGGAAUAAUUCUGGGUACAGAAUAGAUAUGAUCAGUGUAUAUAAUGAAUCUGAUUCUCAAGGGGAAUAAUUCUAGGUUUGUCAUUCAUCAAAAAGGGGAAAAUUGAUAUGUUAUGGUACUUUGAGUUUUGAUGAUUUGCCAAACAGUCAUAAGGAACCAGUUGUGAUCAACUCCUUAGGUUCGGUUCUCAUGGGGAAUAUGGUUGAUUAGUAGGGGAACAAUGUGGAGAUUUGGUUCUCAAGGGUAAUAUCAAUUCUAAGUUUGUUGUCAUUAAAAAUGGGAAAAUUGAUAGGUUACAAGUACCUUGGGAAUAAGUACUUGACUUUAUUUUUUGAUGAUCUAACAAACUUACCAUCCAGAACCAAAUAAGAACCUAUUACCCAUUUACAAGACCUUGAGACCACAAAGUUCCAAGUUGGGAUCCGACGUGGAAUAUAACUCAAGACUUCAGAGUAGAAGGAACAACUGAGGGAAUAGAUCCCUACAAAUUCCCGAGGAGACAGUAUGAAGUCAACUCUCCAGCAGAAAAGUUGUUGCUUGCACACGCUACUGCACAAGAAUAGUGCAGCAGUAAACUUUCCAUGGAAGGCUUUAUACCUACCUUGCUUCCAUUAUUGUAAGUGAUGUCACACACGUAUGAAUACAAUCAAGGAAGGUAACACAACUUACUUCGUGAGAGAACCAGAUAAAGGACCUAAAGCAUACCUUGUAUAAUCAUUCAUGUUAAUCGACUCAAGAUAAUCUGGUCAGUAUGCCUUUAGAUUCACAGGAACCAGAUUAGGGACCUGAUAUGUUGGUGUUCCCCUAAUAGAAGUAUAAGUUAACUAUACAGCUAGAAAGCACCUGCAGAAAGUGACUGCCUACAACUGUACACGUGACAGCGCAGCAGUCAUUUCCCAUUGAGAAGAGGCAUGUACUAACCAAGAAUUGACAUCAAAAAGGUGAUGUCUUUAAUAGUAUAAACCUGGUGCAAGGCACAAGAAAUUUUCAAGAUUUGAAAAAAUAGAAAAUAAAAUAUUCUAUUAAGUGCUAAAACAACCUCUCAAGAACAAAGCUACUCCAACCUCAAGAACUGGAUCCAAGAUUUAAGAUAUCUUAAGUCCUUAGGUUUAUUGAGUAUUUGUUAUUUGUUCUUUAAUUGUAAAUCCUAUCUUGCUUUCCUAGAAGAUAUGUUUUAGGAAACCCAAAAUCACAAACCCUCAAAGUUUAUAUCUUGGCUAGAGUUAGUCGAGUUGUAAAGCCUUUGUAAUAGAGUUAUACAAAGUGGCUUGUAAUAGUGUUAUUUUAAGUUAGAGUGAUUGAAGUCUUUGUAAUAGAGUUAUUACAAAGUGGCUUGUGGAGAGAGUAUCACAAGUUAGUUAAAGUCUUUGUAUUUAGAGAGUCACAAAUUGACUUGUAGUGAGAGUACCACAAGUUAGUUUAGUUGAAUUCUAUGUAAAAGAGUCAUUACAAAGUGGCUUUAAAUAAGUGUUUACAAGUUAGUGAAGUUGAAAGUCUACAAGUGUAGGUCAUGGUUUCUGUCCCCUUGAGUUUGGAUUUUUCCACGUAAAAAUCUUAUGUGUUCCUUACUUACUGCCGAGCUACUGUGGGAACAAUUAGAGAACCUGAUUCCCUAUAUUGGUUGGUUUUACAGUCUGUUUCUUACAGUGGGAGCUGAUAGAGAAUCUAGUUCUCUAUGCAGUAGGAAGUUAUCAUAUGUCUAAUUUACAUAUUGUUCAAUUUUAGCACUGUGGGAACUAAUAUAUGACCAGAUCGCUAGACAAUUUGGUUCAUUAGUAUAUUCAGUGGAAACUCAUAGAGAAGCCGGUUCUCUAUACUGUUUGGUGGACGCUUAGUUUCUAACAGUGAAUCAGAUAGGAUAAUCGGAGCAUUAAAGCCAGUUUCACGGCUAAGAGGUAUUAACAAGAGUUGAACAUUAGACUUGCUAGAAGGAUUAGGCCACUCAACCCAAAAUGCAUUUCAUGGUCAUUGGAAUUGGUGUCCAUAUUUGAUAAGUUUCUAUUCGGUAGUUUUCUUGUUAGAUGUCUUCUCUUUCCAUUAUCCCCUUACCCUGAUCUUCUUGCUUUGUUUAAGUCCUCUUUUUGAGUCUGUUCUGUCAUAACAAGUGAGAAAUGACUUCAAAAUUUACUACUAGAUUUCUAAUUGCAUAAGCGAAGUCUGGUCUAGCACAUCAAGUGGCAUAAGUCAGGGAAAAGUGGCAUGCGCACUGAGUUGAUAAUAAUUGACGUGCUUUAAGAUUCGUUUGAAAUGCAAAGGUUUGAUAAAUAUAAAUUCAUGAGCAAAGUGCAACAGAAAGAGGAUAUUAGGCUCGAAUAGAUCGGAUGUGUUUUCUAUGAUAAGGGUUGACAAAAAAUGGUUAGUCAAUAAUAGGCAAGGUCUUCCAAGUUGAAGUCAAGGUUAUCAGGGCAAGUGUAGAAGCAGUUGCCUUCAAGGUCGAGGCCACAAACCAACCACCAUGUGUUAAACUCACAAGUUUUCUUUGUCUGAAACAAGGAUGAAGGCAAUGAUCAUAUCAAAGCUUGAAAGAUUGAAUUUUUCAGGUAUAAUGCCCCAAUUUAGUUUACACAGAGGCUGUUGAGAAUACCCAUACCUCCUAGGAAUUUUCCCCAGUUGAGAUGAAUCUUUGGCUUUCCUUGAUUGAGAUUUUACCCAUAGGAGAUUCACUUCCUAGUUUGGGUCAUUUAAGUUCAUUUCUAGGAGACGCACUUCCUAGUUUUUGUCAUUGAAGUUUCGCCCCUAGGAGACGCAUUUCCUAGUCUAGGUUUUUCAGGAUAUACUUUUAGGAGACGCACUUCCUAAAUUGAGAUUUUACCCCUAUGAGAUGCACUUCCUAGUUUGGUUCAUUUAAGUUCAUUCCUAGGAGACGCACUUUCUAGUUUUAGUCAUUACAAUUUCACCCAUAGGAGAUGCACUUCCUACUCUGGUUUUUUAGGAUAUACUUUUAGGAGACACACUUCUUAAAUUGAUAUUUUUCCCCUAGGAGACGCACUUCCUAGUUUGAUGUCAUUUAAGAUUCACCCCUAGGAGGUCUAGGUUUUUCUCAUUUCAUUUUAGGAAACAACACUUCCUAAUUUGAGAUUACAAGUUUCACUCCUAGGAGACACACUUCCUAGUGUGAUCGUUCAAGUUUUACCCCUAGGAGACGUAUUUCCUAGUCCAGGUCUUUCAGGUUAUACUGUUUAGGAGAUGCACUUGCUAAAUUGAGAUUUUACCCCUGGGAGACGCACUUCCUAGUAUGGGUCUUUCAAGUCAUAUUUUUUUUAGGAGAAGCACUUCCUAAAUUGAGAUUUUACCCCUAGAGAUACACUUCCUAGUUUGGGCCAUUUAAGUUUUACCCUAAGGAGACACAUUUCCUAGUUUGGGUCUUUCCGGUUAUACUACACGCACUUCCUAGUCUGGGUCUUUCAAGUCAUAUUUUUGUUUUAGGAGACGCACUUCCUAAAUUGAGAUUUUACCCCUAGGAGACGUACUUCCUAGUUUGGGUCAUUUAAGUUCAUCCCUAGGAGAUGCACUUCCUAGUUUGAGUCAUUGAAGUUUCACCCGUAGGAGAUGCACUUCCUAGUCUGGGUUUUCGAGUUAUAUUUUUGUUUUAGGAGAUGCAUUUCCUAAAUUGAGACUUCACCCCUAGAAGAUACACUUCCUAGUUUGGUUCAUUCAAGUUUCCUAGUAUAGGUCUUUUAGGUUAUACUUUUUAGAAGACGCACUUCCUACUCUAAGUUUGUCAGUUUUGCUUGAAGGAGAUGCACUUCCUAAGUUUUUAGUUUUAUUCACAGGAGACGCACAUCCUAGUCGAGUCUUCAAUUUUACUCUCAUCUUAGGUAAUUUGUAGUUUUUCUAACACUCACAAAUCUUCCUAGUGCAAAUGGGGGCAGAAAAAUUUCUUUUGUUUUGUCUGUUUUGCUGUAGUAGUAGCAGGCGCGCACCUAGAGAAUGAGGGAAGUCAUUUCAGAAUUCAAUUCAAGUUGGAAGUAGCAGAAGCUCGCCUCAAGAAUGCUAGUCGAUAGUCCAAGAUGACCAAAAGAAUGAGUCUCAACCCAUAAUAAAGUAAAAGAAAAAAAGAAGAAGAAGUGAAUCCAAAAUGUUGAAGCAGAUGAAAGAUAUGAACUGCUCAAGACAUGGCUAAAGUCACAACCACUGCAUGUCCUGUCUUGAUCCAAAGAAGCCGUGGAAGAAUGAAUUAGCACCUGCAGCUAUCAAGCAUCAGGGUUCAAUCAAAAGUCCGCAUGAAGAAUCAUUCAUGACUCAAGAUCAAGCUUCAGAAGACUUAAAGAUAGGAAUCGUGUAACUCAUAGCUGAUAGGCUUGCUUAGAUCUUUUAGAUUUUGAUUUUGAUAUAAUAACAUGACCGCAAACCGGAACCUCGAUAGAACGGUAUCUCACUCGACUUUUCCAUCCUUUCCACACACUCCAUCACUUCAUUCACUUAUGAACUACACGUGGCAUAAUUCCUUCAUAACCAAGGAUAUGUAGGCAGCUCAGAUACUAUGGCUCAGUCACAAUAUUUUACCUAUUUUUUUUUUUUUGAACAAGUGUCAGGUCAAAUAUCAAUUCCGCCGCUUACUUGUUUCUUUGCUCAAAAACACUUCGUGUUUCGGAGCAAAUAGGGGCAGCUGUAAGCACGUAAUUUUUGAAAUGCACAUUAGAAUUACCUUUAAUACUCCUAGUUUCAUAUUAUGAUAUAGUUUUACUUUAAUCAACUGGAAUUAAAUUUAAAUGGAAGAAGUUUUAGUUGGUUAAUUUAUGGACCUUUAGAAUUAAAGAUUCCAAAAUUUAAGCCCAAAUUCGGAUAGCCCAUUCCACUUAGCCCAGAACCCCCAUACCCAUCAGAUCUUUUACCUUAAAAAUUCAAAAAAAAAAAACUUACAAUAAAGGGAUCUUCUUCUUCAGAACAGAAUAGAGAAGCAGCAGCCAUAUCUCUCAUUUUUGAGAGACUCAACACCAUCUCUUGUUCUCCUAACAGCCAGAACGCCUCCCUCCCUCACUCUCUUGCCAUCAGCCGCACACCCCACCAAAUCGACACCUCGGUCACCCUAUUUUCCAAACCGCCAACCACCAGAUGACGCCAACCUCAGCUGAACCAAAACAGAGCAAGAUUUUGGGAUCGUCGUUUGUCGUUCUUAGUCUUCAGCGUCGUUCGAGUCUUGCUACUAGGUCGCGGUUCUAAUUUUGAGUUGUAGUUAUUUUCUUGCUGCGAUUUUUGAUUCAAAAUUCUGUAUUUGUAUUAUCAAAAGAAAGGUUCAACUUAAGGUUCAUCUCUGUACUCCCCCUUAACUUUUUUAUGGUAUUGAUCGGGAAAUAAUAGUAGUUGAGAUUUUGUUACAUUGGAAAGUAUUUAAUAAUAGUUUUCUGGUAAAUUUAUUUGUCGUUUGGGAUGAGUUUCAUAUACGUUUGAAUCUGCGUUUUUAUGGCUUAUAUAAUAAAUCUGACUUGUCCACAAUUUUAUGUAUGCCCCUGCAAUAUACUCCGGUGCCUCUUUUUUUUUUUUUUUUUUUUUU